GAGUACUCAGCAACAGUUCAUUCUCAAUAUUUCAUGUUCCCAUGUCUUUCUCUUUCUCUAUCUCAAAAAAGUCUCAAAGGAGCUGCUUGCUCCAUCGCACGGGAGACGGCAGAGUCAGUACAAAACACAAAAAACCAUCAUCAUACUACUCUUCUCACCUUCCUCUCUCUCUCUCUCGCUCUAACAUCAGUUUUCCCCUAACUCACGCAAAAUUUCUUCAAAUCGUAAAUUAAACCAAGAACCCUAGAAUGUGAAAACUAAAGUUAAAUGAGGUCAAAGAGGAAUCAGAGCCUGAUAACUUAGAUCUUUGAUUCCUCGCUCCUGAAGCUACAUUAUGGUGCCAAAAAGUAAGCUAACAAGGGAAGAAUUGGAAAGUGUCACCAACCUGCAAGAUAAAGACUUGUCUUGGAAGGUGUUGAAGCUUGAAGAUGAUGAAGAUGAAGAAAACCAGAGGAUCCUCAAUGUAGGCAGAUGUGCAUAUGGUAGUAAUAGACUAGGCUUUGCAUGGAAUAACAUCAAGGCGUCAAGAUUUAGCAUGGCAUGAAAGAGACUUAUCAUGGCAUAAUGCCCAUGAAAAGGUUUUGGAGCACAACUUGAAUAAAUUCGAGGACUUCAUGAAGGAUCAAGAGAAAAGUAGGUUUAGAGGAUGUUUAGGAUAAUUAGUUGACUUUGGUCAACUGCUUGACCAAAAAGCCAAAAGUUUACCAAAAGUCAAAUGUAGGUUAAAAGAUGUAAUUUUUUUUGUGUAAUUUGAUUAUUGACUCCUUUUGUAAUGAAAUUGAUGUUUUUGAAAUGGAAAAUGGCAUUUUGAAUGAA
Long non-coding RNA from Lathyrus oleraceus (garden pea), 816 nucleotides. RefSeq lists it as uncharacterized. The transcript is spliced from 2 exons. The record is from RefSeq and is a predicted model, not a curated record. Lineage: Eukaryota; Viridiplantae; Streptophyta; Magnoliopsida; Fabales; Fabaceae.